This is a long non-coding RNA of Onthophagus taurus, 653 nucleotides long. RefSeq lists it as uncharacterized. The record is from RefSeq and is a predicted model, not a curated record. Lineage: Eukaryota; Metazoa; Arthropoda; Insecta; Coleoptera; Scarabaeidae.
CUAAUUUAAUUCAAUUUAUUUAUGAUUAAUUGUUUCAGGUGUGUGAAAAAUGUGAAACUAGAAAAUACCCAGUAGAUGAUCUCUUUUGGAGUGAGAUUUCAGUUGCCUCUGUUUCCAUCCCAUUUUUUAGAAGGUCGUUUAGUUCUUAGAUGCGUAGCCGCGAUUUUAGAUAUUUAGCAAACCCACACGGAAAUGAGGCUCGACAAUACAAAAGAUCCUAUUCCGGAAAGAGUUACAUUUCCGCACAACUCUUCCGUAGCGUUCUAAUCGUCAAAGACUUUUGUAUCGAUAAUUGUGUUGUUAGCCUUAAUAUUCAGAUAAAUGAAGUUUGCCAAAAAAAUAUUAAUUUUUCGUUAUUGUUUCUUUUAUAUUAGAGGAUAAUGUUAAAUAUAAGUAAUCAAAAAAUUAUAAAAUUGAGAAGUAUGUAAGUUUGUAUUAUACGAUUAUAAAGCGAAAUAAUUAAUAAUAAUUGUGAUGUAAAAAAAUAUCAGAGACUAUACGACUAGUCAAAAUAAAAAAAUAAACGAUGUUUUUAGUAUGUUUUAUGUUUAUAGGUUUUGAAAAAAUAAAAAAGAACGUACUUAGAACGGUACUUUUCGCCAAUUAUGUACUACAUUUAGUGCACUUUCGGAGUAAUAAAUGUUUAAUUUUCA